CGGUGUUUAACUGGCGUGAUGUGGGACGUCCUACCGGUGGGCUUAGCCUCGCGAGGGGCGGCCCAACUAAUAUCCCGUCGCGGUGCUCUUUACUGAGUGUCGAGUCGGGCCGGUACGUUUACUUUGAACAAAUUAGAGUGCUUAAAGCAGGCUAUCCUCGCCUGAAUACUGCGUGCAUGGAAUAAUGGAAUAGGACCUCGGUUCUAUUUUGUUGGUUUUCGGAACCCCGAGGUAAUGAUUAAUAGGGACAGAUGGGGGCAUUCGUAUUGCGACGUUAGAGGUGAAAUUCUUGGAUCGUCGCAAGACGGACAGAAGCGAAAGCAUUUGCCAAAAAUGUUUUCAUUAAUCAAGAACGAAAGUUAGAGGUUCGAAGGCGAUCAUAUACCGCCCUAGUUCUAACCAUAAACGAUGCCAGCUAGCGAUCCGCCGAAGUUCCUCCGAUGACUCGGCGGGCAGCUUCCGGGAAACCAAAGCUUUUGGGUUCCGGGGGGAAGUAUGGUUGCAAAGCUGAAACUUAAAGGAAUUGACGGAAGGGCACCACCAGGAGUGGAGCCUGCGGCUUAAUUUGACUCAACACGGGAAACCUCACCAGGCCCAGACACCGGAAGGAUUGACAGAUUGAUAGCUCUUUCUUGAUUCGGUGGGGUGGUGGCUGCAUGGCCGUUUUUAGUUGGUGGAGCGAUUUGUCUGGUUAAUUCUGAUAACGAACGAGACUCUAGCCUGCUAAAUAGGCGUACCUUAUGGUAUCGCGAAGGCCCCCGGCUUCGGCCGGUGGGUUUUUACUACCAACGUACAAACAAAUCUUUUUAGAGGGACAGGCGG
This 822-nucleotide ribosomal RNA is filed under the name uncultured eukaryote. RNAcentral describes it as "SSU rRNA". It matches the Rfam family "Eukaryotic small subunit ribosomal RNA", at positions 629 to 1426 of the family's 1831-position model. The record is from RNAcentral.